RNAcentral lists this transfer RNA (73 nucleotides) under Rattus norvegicus (Norway rat). It matches the Rfam family "tRNA". From Rfam's summary of the family: Transfer RNA (tRNA) molecules are approximately 80 nucleotides in length. Their secondary structure includes four short double-helical elements and three loops (D, anti-codon, and T loops). The record is from Rfam by way of RNAcentral. Lineage: Eukaryota; Metazoa; Chordata; Mammalia; Rodentia; Muridae.
GGAGAGAUGGCUCUGAGGUUAAGAGCACUGGCUAUUUUUCCAGAGGUCCUGAGUUCAAUUCCUAGUCACUACA